Molecule: long non-coding RNA, 7093 nt
Organism: Alligator mississippiensis (American alligator)
Lineage: Eukaryota; Metazoa; Chordata; Crocodylia; Alligatoridae
Exons: 2
Source: RefSeq, a predicted model, not a curated record
CGCGCUGAUUGGUCGCCGCCGCGCCCGGGCGCCCAAGAGAAGUGGCGGCAAGCGGGGGGUGUGGGAGCCGCGUGCGCGCUCUGCGUCAUGACUUCCCCUCCCCCACCGCGUGCAGCGCCGGGCUGCCGCAGCGGUCCUUGCAGGGUGCAGCCGGGGGCCCCGCUGCGCCGCGGGCAGCUCGCAGCUGGUUUCGGAAGAGGGGGCGCUCAGCCCGCAAGGGUUCGGGGGGGUUGGGUCUCCUGGAAGGGGGGAAUCUCCGGGAGGGGGUCUUCUUCCUUGUGGGGAGGCUGGAGCAGGAGGCUGAGAAGCGCUGCUCGGGGGCUGCAGCUCCUGAGCUGAAGGCGGCCGCUGCUCGGGGGAGCUCCGACCCAGCGGGGGAGUGGGGCCCCCGGAGAGGCGAGGCUCCAUCGCAGCUGUCACAAAGCGCUUCCCUUGGAAGGAUGAAGCCCACCACCAAGGGCUGCGCUAAAGGUGCUGCAGCCUCCAUGUGCCUACCCAAGAAGAGAUGAGAAGGAUGCGAGUGCUGCAGAAAACAGCUUUCCUCCAGCCCCAGCUGUGGCUCUUCCUCAUCAAACAGCGUGUGUAAGGGGCACUGGGCUCGCACAGAAAUCUGCUAUAUUGGGCACACCUGAUGUCAAAGAGUUGUUCCGUGUGCAUGAUUUGGGUGGUACAAGAUCCUGGGGUGCCUUUGGAAAGGGCUGGGAAUUACCUGAACAUCCCCUUCCUCACUGAAAUUCAGUGGCAUCCAAAGCUCAGGAGGUGCUCCAGGGCUAGCACUUUCAACACAUUUUUAUAUGCAUUGGUUAACUAAAUACUCUCCUAGCUACUGUAUUAGUGCCCUUAACUCUAACAUGACAACAACUAUAAGGAUAUUAAGCAUGAUCCUAUGUCAAGUCAUACUAGUUCUUACCUACUUCUACCUGAACAGCAUCCCUUGUCCGUAAUAGCAUCGCAGCCCGUGUUCUCUUCACUUCUGUAACAGUGUCAAAUUCUUUUGGUCAGCCCAUUGGAGGCAGAGAGCCCAGGAGGCAAUAGGAAGCCCACAAAUGGUACAUGGGGGGAGGAGGAGAAUCCCCUUGAUGGGCUGGGAUUAAAUGACACUACAACUAGCACUAGAAAUAAUCCACACCUGGUAGCACUUAAAACUGACGUUUGUCGGGUAUGAAUGGUCAGCAGCCCAAGCUACAACUGAACCAGCUCUGACUUUUGAAGCAGAACGUGAAGGUAGUUGACUGCUCUUUUGUCACUGACUGCAGUUCUGUAGAACCCACCACAGUAAGAAUGAAAAUCUUCACAAAGACUGGAAAUAAAUAUGGUGCAGCGUCCUGCUGGUGAAGAAGGCCGUAGAGAAUGUUUUCUAUCUGGUUGAAUUUCUAGAGGCUGAUUCAUCUGAGAUAUACUAGUAAGGGAAGGCAGAAAUCAAAGCCUGAAAUUGGUGUCCUGUAAGCUUUUGGGGGGGGGGGCAAACAUUGUCCUGUUCUGGACAGUGCCCAACACAACGUGCCCUGUGAUUUGGCUUCCAAGGUGCUCCAUACUACAUAUCAAUAGGGACUAAUCUAUGCACUGUUUUUGUACUGGGAAAAUGUAUUCCAGGUAGUAGUGUGAGACCUUUUAUUUUCAAUGGAAAGAGUAGCAGUCCAAUCCCUAGUGUAGACAAAGGAUGGCAAAAGAUCCCUUCUUUCUGUGGCAGGGGUGUCAAACUCAUUUGCUCCUGUGUCCCCUGCCGCCGCCCCCCCAACCCCUGCAGCAGGGUAAGCAGGAAUGGCAAUAACCCCUAUGGGUGCUUAAGCCACUGUUUGUUCAGGGAGCCCUGGGGCAUAACACUUCUUUUGUUGCAGCAGCAGCUUACGUAUGGCAAACAAGUCCCCAGUGAAGCUCUAUACCCCAGAAUUCAGUGGCAGAGAGAUGGAUUUCAAAUUCACCCCUGUGGGUGCCUGAACUACUGUCAGUUAAGGGGGCUGUAGAGGUUAAUGUUGCUAUUACUUGUCCCAUCCUUAAAUCUCCAGCCCCUCUGGGGGACUGUGGGCCAUAUGUUUGACACCCUUGCCACAGGAGGAACUGCCAUAACAUAUAACCACAUGACAUUUCAUGGAUGUGAACAUACAUGUCCCUUUAACUACCAGGAUAGUUAAAGCAAUACAACUUUCACAUGUGGACAAUACCUGAGUCAAACUCCUGAGAUGCACUGAUGCUAAAUAAAGUCUUGCAGAAAAGGAGAACAAGGAACAAAGGUGCAGCUGCAUAAUUAAACCAAGGUGAAGAGGGUGUCUCAGCGGUUUGUGCUGUAGGAGGAAGAGUAAUUAGUAACACAAUCAGGCUCUAUUGUAUUAAAUAUGAAUGCCAUGGGGAGAAGGGGUGAGUAGCCAGAUAUAGUCAACCUGAUUCUCUCAGGCAACAGGUACCCAUAGGCUGAUAACAGGGAGGGAUGAGAGGGGCCCCAUUUUUCAGACGGAAGUAGGAAAGUCCUGUCUGUCUGCAGAUAUGCAUGAGACUGUUUGAGCAGAGGUGUCCCAUCUCAUUCUGCCUUCAGAGAAACAGUUCAUGUCUCUCUAACUCAUCCUUGUUUCUGCUGACAUAUGGCUUCCCUGGCACUUUAGAAACCACUCACCAUUGAAAUGUAGCUGCCUCUGAGGAGGAAGCCAGCUACAGGAGGGAGAGGAAAGUUUAACUGAGGACACUAGCAGAAAAUCCUCCUCUUGAUAUAAAAGGUGCCAGGAGCUCAACACCCAGCAGCCAGAUAUUACCUUAGACAACCUUCCUCUUCAAGUUCUAGGCACAGUGAAUGCCAUGGAACUCCAUUUAUCUCUGAGAAGCUCCUAACCCUGCCAAGAGAUGAACCAGUGGAGGAAUGGAGUAUAAAUUUUUAAAACCUGUAAGGUUCCAACUUUGUCAUCCUUUCAAGCCAUGAAGCCCCUCAUAACACUCCAUGUUGGAGAAACUGAGACACAUCAAGAUCAUAUGGUGUCUGAGUGGUAGGGCCAGAAAUAGAGCCCAGGAGUCCUGGCUCCUAGUACUUUAUCCACAGAUACUGCUCCCUUCCCCUCCUACCCUGCUAAGUGCCUUAGCCUGGAGGGAAGAGUAUGCUCUUCUAAGGCAAGAAAGAAGGAUGUACAAAUAUGGAACAGGAACCUGUCCCUAGGGAGGUGGGUGAGUAUUAACCCUGCUUUAUAAUCGGGAAGUUGGUCCAAGGUCAGGCAGAGGUGAAAAUGGAAUGCAGGUGUCCUUGCUCUUCACCCUGGUUUACAGGUGGAGACUAGCAAAAUGACACAUCUAAGGUGAUGCAGCUAGGCAGUGGGAGAGCUGAGGAUGGAGCCUAGGGGUCCUGGCUCUGCCUGGUUUUUCAGCCUCUCCUCAUUUUUUAGCUAUGCUCACCAGCUGUACAUAAUAAUAACUAGCACUUUUCAGAGCAGAGGACUUCAGUCAUCUCCUGUAUGUGGAAAAGGAAGCAGAGGCACAGAGAGGGAAAACAAACUGCCUAAGGUUAACCAGACAGCCAGUAGCCCAGCUAGGAAUAGAGCCCAGAUCUCCUGAAUCCCAGUCCUGUCCUCUGCAAAGAGUGUGAACUUCCCUGUGGGUGAUGAAUAUUCCCUGUGAUGCACACAUCCUGCUGUAUAGCUAGACUCACUGAUGGAGGCCAUUGCUGAGGGUACAGCUGCUUAAUCUGCUGUGCAUGUGUUAGGUCUAGAUUCUCUUACUUGGUUCACUGACUGCUUGAGUGAAUCAUCCAAAGGUAGAGCAGGACUAGAAAAUGUGCUUGGUGCCUGGAGUCACCGUGCUGGAGUUAGAAGAGAGGCUACUUCCCCACCUUCAACUGGAUGUGGGGACCUUUCCUUCCUGUGUUAAACUAUCAUGCUGUGUUGCUGUGCAGCUGUUAACUGCUUCCCAAGUUCUGUCCCAGAGAGGGAUGUGAUUUCCUGUUAGGCAAGCAAUCCCUGUGCUGCUGUGCCAAUGCCAAAUGAUUCCUAUGUUCCCCCCCAGAGCAGGUCACACUUUGCUGGGUAAGUGAUUUUUGUUGCAUGGCUACUAAACAGCUCACGUGGGCUUCCUGAGGUGGCUGCACUUCAGCACUGAGUGAACAAUCCCUCAGCUUUACUGUGGCUGUUCAGUAGUUACCAUGUUGCUCCCCAGCGACCGCUGGAUUUUAGCAUGAGGUCUGUGAUUCCUGGGGUGCUACAUAAAUAUUCUGCCUUGGAGAGGGCUGCCCUGCCUUGGUGGGCUGAUACCAUGUUGCUUUGUUACAUUUUAAAAGCACACUUCCAGGAAAAGCAACAGGCAAUUCCUACUGCAGUAACUGGCAAAGGAAACGCAUGGUGGAGGUUGCAGCAGGAAGAAACCUGGCCCAUAGCAUUGGGAAGAUUGAAGAAGCAACUGAAAUACUGGCAGUGUUAGAAGGCUGACUUCAUCACUAUCUGGAUGCUGCUUUGAGAUCAUCACCUGGGAAGAGUGCUGAAAAAGCUUCACAUCACUUGAGUUGUUUAAGACUGCUUCCUAUUUAUAACUUGAUUCAUGUUGCAUGAGUGACAUGUUAUUCAGGCUAAAGGAAUGGCCGGUCUCUUGUACUAGCUUCUCUGCCCAUCUCUGGCAUCCCUCUUCUUAGGGAGGCAAGCAGUAGCGUUUGGGCUCAAGAAACCAGGUGCUUCCGGCCAUCAUGGGAACCUGGUAUCUGCUCACACAAAACACAGCUCUGGCUGCUGGAUUUGACCAAAAAGUACCCUGGGCUCUGCAUGAGCCCAGGCCUUUAGACACAUGAGAGAGCACAUGUGCUUCAGCAUGCAGAGCCAGGCUUUCAGGAUAUUCAGCGUUAUGCGCAGGUCCAUGUAUGUGCCCGCCCAUCAGCCAGGCUGAUCCUAGUUACUUCCUGAGGGGGUUGCUUCUGUAGGACAGCCAAGGAGGAGGGGCUUUAGAAGCCACACAAAUCCAGUGCUGAAACCUGGUGUAAAAUCAGGCUGGAAAGGGGAAUCUGAGACAGCACAUCCUGCUCUCAUUGGUAUAUCAGACAGGCUGUUCACUUGAUAUCUCACUGUUUUGCUCUUCAUUGCCAUAAACGGUGUGUUCAGCCUUCAAGCCCUUCACAGAGGGUUUAUAUCAUCCUUUGCUUAUAUAAACAAGAGGAGGAAAUGCUGGAAUCCUCCUCCAGUUAGGCAGCUGAGCAACGCUAGGAGCAGUCAAGGUGCUUUGGGUAAUUGGGUCAUUAUUUUAGCAGGUGGAGCAGUUUGAGAACAAAGUGGCAAGCUGUCUGGUUUCUACUCCUAAAUCUGGGAAGGGGGGUGGGUUUCAGUGAGAGCAAAGAAUUGGGUGUGGGUCCCAUUGCCACUAAUGCACUGUGCGAGUGUAAAUUAGUCAUUUCAGCUCUGUCCCUCUUUUCCUUAUCUAUAGAAAAGUUUGUUUCCCAGGAGGAUUGUCAGCCUCAGUGUUGUGCUUCAAUAGCCUCAGGAAAGGAAGAGGCUGUUGUAAUACGAGGAGCUGCUAGAGGUCCUGUCUCUGCCACUGCUUUAACGUAUAGCCUUGAAAGAAUCUCUGGGCCCCCAUUUCUCCUACCCGUGUCAGUGGGUUGGAUUUCAGUGGGUAUUGGCUGUCUAGUUCCCUUCAUCUCCUUUGAAAAUCCAGUUAUAGAUGGCAAGCGCUAAACAGUAGGAGCUGUGUGCUGCCUGUGCAAGGGACUCUGCUCUUGCUUGACAUCUCUGGGUACUACUUUAAAAGCAAAGAAUAAAGUUUAGGUGAUCCAGGUUCAAAUGCUAGCAAUGUGUUUGGAGCUUGGCAAUGCAUGCAGAGCUGUGCCUGUACUAACUCUCACCAUUGAAGUGAAAUGUUUUUGAGGUAAAAGGCAACCAUAGAAACAGCCAGAAAUGAAGCACAGCAACUGUAACAAGGCAAAAGUGUUACUACAUAAUUGCUUCAGCCAAGAUUGAGAUAGUGGGGAUUUAGGAUAUUAGAUGUUGUUAUCCAGGAUUGGAACUGAUAAGGACUUUAGUCUUAACAAUCCCUACUGUAAUAAAAAGCAAUGACUGCAAACUACCCACAGUUCAUAUUUUAACUUUCAGCUGAAGCAGAGCCUCAACCAGGGUGAUGCAAGAUCUUUUGAAGGGUGCCAGGAUGUGUGCGGAGAUAAAUGCAGGCUCAGGGUUGUACCUGCCUAGCCCCUAGGGGGGCUCAGAUUCUAAAGGUUGAGACCCAUUAAUCUAAAGCCUGACUUCUCCAGCAACAUGGCAAUGGUGGGGCCCAACUCCAAGCAAAACAGUGCCUCCCUCCUGUACUAUAUAGCACUUGUGAUGGUGGUAGGCAGAACAGUUUACUUGGGGGAUUAGAACACCUCUUUCAUGGGUUUUGGCAUCCCUUUGUCACUCACAUUCACAACCUUAGGGUGCUGCUGGAUCCUCUGCUGUACCUGGAUCUUCAAGUAGCAGCAGUUCCAUCUGGUGAGAAGGCUGUGACCCCUUUAGAUUUGGAUCUGGCCACCCUCACCCAUAUCUUCGUAAUCUCAAUCCUAGAUUACUGCAGUGUGCCUCACAUACAGCUGCCUUUGAAGACCAUCCAGAAGUGGCAGCUGGCUCAGAAUGCAGCAAUCCACCUUCUGACGGAGGUGGGUCACCAGGAGCACAUCCAGCUCUCUGGAGUCUUCGAUAGUUACCAGUAGCUUUCCAGGCACAAUUCAAGGUGCUAUUUUUGACCCAUCCAGCCCUAAACGGGCCUGCCUUCCCUCUUAUGUCCCAUCACAAUUUCUAAGAAAAGCUGAGAGCAACCUAUAGCAUGUACCAUCAGUAAUACCAAGUCUGCUUAGUGAAAAACACGGGAGGUUUUUUUCCCAGCAGUCAUCCCUCAGCUCUGGAACUGCCUCCCACUUGAGACCCUCUAGAGCCUAGCUGGGACAUUUUUCAGAAGUACUUUAAGACCUCCCUAUUUGGGCAGGUGUUUAGCAAAGAGAGAGAGAAACUGAAAUAUUUAUGGGGUUUGUUCUGUGUUGAUAUUCUAGUUCCUUUUUAAGCUGUUCUUUUUCUUUUGUCAUUCUCCUGUUUUAUAAGAUAUUCUGUUUUCUUAUUGUAAGAUACUGUGCAUCCUUUUUGGAAAGGUUGGCAUAUAAACUGUAUAAAUACUU